GACGAACGCUGGCGGCGUGCCUAACACAUGCAAGUCGAGCGAUGAAGCCCUUCGGGGUGGAUUAGCGGCGGACGGGUGAGCAACACGUGGGUAACCUGCCUCAAAGAGGGGGAUAGCCUCCCGAAAGGGAGAUUAAUACCGCAUAACAUUAGAUUUUCGCAUGAAGAACUAAUUAAAGGAGUAAUCCGCUUUGAGAUGGACCCGCGGCGCAUUAGCUAGUUGGUGAGGUAAAGGCUCACCAAGGCGACGAUGCGUAGCCGACCUGAGAGGGUGAUCGGCCACAUUGGAACUGAGACACGGUCCAGACUCCUACGGGAGGCAGCAGUGGGGAAUAUUGCACAAUGGGCGAAAGCCUGAUGCAGCAACGCCGCGUGAGUGAUGAAGGCCUUCGGGUUGUAAAGCUCUGUCUUUGGGGACGAUAAUGACGGUACCCAAGGAGGAAGCCACGGCUAACUACGUGCCAGCAGCCGCGGUAAUACGUAGGUGGCGAGCGUUGUCCGGAUUUACUGGGCGUAAAGGAUGCGUAGGUGGAUGUUUAAGUCAGAUGUGAAAUACCCAAGCUUAACUUGGGUGCUGCAUUUGAAACUGGAUAUCUAGAGUGCAGGAGAGGUAAGUGGAAUUCCUAGUGUAGCGGUGAAAUGCGUAGAGAUUAGGAAGAACACCAGUGGCGAAGGCGACUUACUGGACUGUAACUGACACUGAGGCAUGAAAGCGUGGGUAGCAAACAGGAUUAGAUACCCUGGUAGUCCACGCCGUAAACGAUGAGUACUAGGUGUAGGGGGGUCCAACCUUCUGUGCCGCAGUUAACACAAUAAGUACUCCGCCUG
RNAcentral lists this ribosomal RNA (827 nucleotides) under uncultured bacterium. RNAcentral describes it as "bacterial SSU rRNA". It matches the Rfam family "Bacterial small subunit ribosomal RNA", at positions 28 to 875 of the family's 1533-position model. The record is from RNAcentral.